RNA transcript from Populus trichocarpa (black cottonwood), 1357 nucleotides. It is a transcript of the gene named methylsterol monooxygenase 1-1, with no coding region annotated. The transcript has 5 exons. The record is from RefSeq and is a predicted model, not a curated record. Lineage: Eukaryota; Viridiplantae; Streptophyta; Magnoliopsida; Malpighiales; Salicaceae.
UCUACCACCAUUAAAAUUAAUUUUGAGUUGAAUGGAUUUCUGAUAGUUCUGCGAACUCCUAUUUAUUCUGAUGUUGUCAUGCAUUCAAUCAUAUUUCUCACCCUCUAAUUAACAAUGCUGCCUUACCAGAACUUGCACCAAGCAGAGGCAGCUCUUGGCAGAGAGCUAACUAUUGCAGAGAAACUAUGGCUCAAUUACUCAGCCAAUAAACCUGAUUACCUUCUUCAUUAUCAUAACAUUCUCUUCCUGAUCCUCUUUUACUCUAUAGUUCCUCUCCCAUACAUGUUUAUUGAACUAAGCCGGUCCAAGAGGAUAGACAAGCACAAGAUUCAAUCCAAAAUCAAGAACUCAUUCCAAGACAUGCUGAAAUGCUACAAGGAUGUUGUGCAAACUUUUAUCGUUGUUGUUGGUCCUCUUCAAGUCUCUUCUUACCCUUUCAUCAAGCUGAUUGGCAUCCGAACUAGUCUGUCAUUACCUUCAGGAGGGGAAAUGUUCUGGCAGUUAUUAGUGUAUUUUCUGAUAGAGGAUUAUACCGGUUAUUGGGUUCAUAGGUUGCUUCAUUCCAACGGGGGCUAUGAGAAAAUCCACCAUGUUCACCAUGAAUAUAGUGCUCCAAUGGGGUUUGCAGGGCCUUAUGCACACUGGUCUGAAAUUUUGAUUCUUGGCAUGCCUGCAUUUCUUGGUCCUGCAGUAGUUCCUGGACACAUUACUACUUAUUGGCUAUGGUUCGUUUUAAGACAAAUAGAAGCUAUAGAGACUCACAGCGGAUAUGAUUUUUCAUGGAGUCCAACAAGAUUUAUACCAUUCUACGGAGGUGCAAGGUACCAUGAUUAUCAUCAUUACGUGGGUCGCCAUAGCCAAAGUAAUUUCGCUUCCGUUUUCACAUACUGUGAUUACCUUUAUGGAACAGACAAGGGCUAUCGGUACCACAAGUCCAUCCACCGAAAGGUACCUCUCUAAGGCAACUUUCUUUUUUAUACACACGAGGGUCCACCGCCAAAAUAUGGCCGGUGAUCAGAAAUGCCAUUUUCGACUUCCAAGGGGACGUCGUUUUCUUGAUGGUUCAAGGGUCAUCAUUGUCCUGAGUACUUGCAUGUUGCAAUGGGAUGGAGGAGACAGUGGAGAGGAAUGGCGGACAUCGUGAGGGCAGCUAUAAUUCCAUGCCUGCCCAAGAUUUCAAAUCCGAAUAACUAUGAUAUAUCAGUGGGACGCAGUAUUUUGAUCCAGUUUCUCUGUUAUAUUAUUAGUAUUUAAAAGUUGUUAUGGUUUGUGAGGAUGUGUAGUAGAGGUAAGUGUUAGGCUUGGGAUUGUACUCCAAAAUAUAAAUAAAUUGGUGAGCUACGGCCUUUAUUAUCUA